GCAAAAUUCCAAAGCAAUCCAGGCUGCAUUUAUUGAAUAUAUGAAAAAGAUGAGCAGAUCAGGCACAUGGGGUGUGGGCUAUGCAUUGAAUUUUGACUCAAAAAAUAAAUCAUUGAAGCCAGACCUUGUAAAACCCAUCUAGGAUACUCUCUUCCAAGCCAACACUUCUUCAUCUUCACAAUUCCACUUCCUUUUAUCAAAACUAGCAUGAAUCUCUCCCCUCUCUUCUUCCCUACUCUUGCUCUCUAUUGCCUCUGCUUCAAACUCACAUCAGCUGCCUGUCACGUGGAUGAUGAAGCGGGUCUCUUGGCUUUCAAAUCGGGUGUUACCAUGACCCAUCUGGUAUGCUUAGCUCGUGGAAGUCCGGCACCGAAUGCUGCACCUGGGCGGGUGUAACUUGCCUUGUUGACAACCGGGUCACGGCAAUAUCACUUUCCGGGCAAUCCGAAAAACCCAACAGCUUCUUAUCCGGUACAAUCUCACCAUCCCUAGUAAAAGUCCAAAAUCUUGAUGGCAUUUACUUUCAGAACUUGAGAAAUAUUACUGGCAAAUUCCCGGAUCUUAUAUUCGGGUUGCCCAAGCUCAAGUUUAUUUAUAUAGAAAACAAUAAGCUUUCGGGUCAAAUACCCAGUAACAUAGGAAAGUUAACCCAACUGGAGGCGCUGAGUUUAGAAGGGAAUCAAUUCAGUGGGUCAAUACCCACUUCAAUAUCCGAGUUAACUGGGUUGACACAACUCAAACUUGGUAAGAAUUUUCUCACUGGCACAAUCCCAGUUGGAAUUAGCAAAUUAAAGAGCUUGACCUUUCUAAGUCUUCAAUACAACCAACUUUCAGGCUCAAUUCCUGAGUUUUUCUCAUCAUUCACUAAUCUCAGAAUUCUUGAACUUUCCCACAACAAAUUUUCUGGGAAAAUCCCAACUUCAAUAUCAUUACUAGCACCAAAAUUGGCAUAUCUUGAGCUGGGUCACAACGCAUUAUCAGGACAAAUCCCAGAUUUUCUUGGAUCUUUUACAGCUCUAGACACACUAGAUCUGUCAGGAAACAAGUUCACAGGAACUGUACCAAAAAGUUUUGGGAACCUCACAAAAAUCUUCAGCCUUGACCUCUCCUACAAUUCUCUUGUAGACCCAUUUCCCACCAUGAAUGUGAAAGGGAUAGAAUCCCUGGAUUUGUCUUAUAAUCAAUUCCAUCUUAAGCAAAUACCCAAUUGGGUGACUUCCUCUCCUAUUAUUUUCUCUCUGAAGCUGGCAAAAUGUGGGAUUAAGAUGAACUUAAAUGGCUGGAAGCCAAAGGAGACAUAUUUCUAUGACUAUAUUGAUCUAUCUGAGAAUGAAAUUUCAGGCAGUCCCAUUUGGCUACUGAACCAGACAAGUGAUUUGGUUGGAUUUUGGGCUUCAGGGAACAAGUUGAAGUUUGAUCUGGGAAAUUUGAGGAUUGUUAAUACAUUGAAGCACUUGGAUUUGUCAAGGAAUUUGAUUUAUGGAAAGAUACCCAAUACAGUUUCUGGGUUGGAAAGUUUGAAUUUGAGUUAUAAUCAUCUAUGCGGAAAGAUUCCAGCAACAAAAUUCCCUGCCAGUGCAUUUGUAGGAAAUGACUGCUUGUGUGGUUCUCCACUAGCUCCUUGCAAGGCGUAGGAAGCCAAUAAAUUUGACCAACGAAAGGUUACCCUCGACUCUGUUGGAAAAGUUAACUAGGAAGGAAAUGGCUGGCACUACAUCAGAUUGCAAAAAAAUUGACAUGCUCUAAUUGAUAUUAAGAUGUACUAAUUUGUUGUAUUUUCUAUUUUGAUGUGGUAAAUAAUUUGGGAAUGUUCUCCUCUCUGAUAGUAACUUUUCCAACAGAGUCGAGGGUAACC
This 1855-nucleotide unclassified non-coding RNA is filed under the name Hevea brasiliensis (rubber tree). The record is from RNAcentral. Lineage: Eukaryota; Viridiplantae; Streptophyta; Magnoliopsida; Malpighiales; Euphorbiaceae.